GUUUAAGCUUAUAUUUAUAAAUAAAAUAUAUACAGUGAGAGCCUUAUUAUUAUGCUCAACAAAAUUUAUUGAAAUAUAUUAACUUUCUUUUGCAAAAUAUUUUAUAUAUCUAAUCUAAAACUCAAUCUUGUGAAAUUAUAUUAUUUUUAGGAUAUUUAGGAAGUAAAAUAAAGGAUAAAAAUUUAGUUUUGCUACUUUAUUAUACACUUAUAAGUUAAAAAAAUAUAAAUAUUCAAUAUUUAAUAAAUCUGCCAUUACCAUCAAUAAUGGUUUUAAUAUGCUGUGGCAUGCUUGUGAUGUACCUCUUGGCCACUUUUUCUAUCUCUGGAUUGUUGUGCCGAGCUUUAAUAAUUUUUUCUAUCAAUUCCCUUUUAUUAGUAAUGAUUUUUUCUUUAGAAAUUUUCCUCUUGAGAACUUUCCAAACAUUAUCAAUUGAAUUCAUGUUGGAAGAUUUCCCUGAUCACUCUAG
RNAcentral lists this long non-coding RNA (469 nucleotides) under Androctonus crassicauda. Lineage: Eukaryota; Metazoa; Arthropoda; Arachnida; Scorpiones; Buthidae. The record is from RNAcentral.